GGUAGAGGGGGCGGAGCGGCCGGGGUGCGCGGUAAAGAUGGGGCGGCGCGGCCGGGGCUCGCCAGCACCAGCCCUGGAACCCCAUGGGGGACCUCGACAACAGCGCCUUUGCGGCGUGGGCCCCUUUCUGCAGCUCCUCCACCCGCGCGCUGUCGGCUCCGGGACACUGGGGCUUUGAAGGGCGCCAGUUCCCAGCCGCACCUGCACGCCUAGGAGGGCGCAGGCCGCGUGUCCCUGUGGGAGGAAGGCCCCGGCAACCUGCAAAGACCUCACGUCACAGAAACUUGCGGCGUUUGCCCCCGAUGCGCGCGUCAGGUGCUCCGUCCCUUCCAGGUGGCAGAGGAGAGGGAAGGGUCGCGCCUGGUGGGGGCCUGAGAGCCACCGGGCUGCGGUGCGCGAGUGUGGACACCGCCCCGCCUUCUGCGUCUACAGCCCUGGGUUCUGGGACCUUUGGAAACCGCUUUGGACGAAGCUGAGCAUCUCUUUCCCCACGCUGACCUCCCCCAUAGACUCCGGAUGGGAGUAAAUGAGGCUCCUGGGAAAUCCAGAAACUCUAGAGAAGCUUGUUUGCCAAACCUUGCUUUGGGCGGUGGAGACAGAAUAUCAUGUCCCAGAUCAGCGUGUGGUGACUGUGGAGGCAUUUACACACAGCACACUCCAGCUCUGCCACUGGGCCGGCUGAGGUGGCUGCGGUACACGGCGCCCAUCCUGAGCCCCAGGUUCCUCACAUGUCAACAGCAUGAAAAGUGCCUCUAAGACAUCCACAGGUGUGCAGUGUUAAAGCAGGUGAGUGUCCUAGUGUAGACUUAGCGGAGUGGGGCUAGGGCUGCGGGUAGUGGGUGUUCCGCCCCCGGCUUGCUACCCAGUCCUCCCUGUCCCUCAGAUCUGGCCCCAACCCUCAGGCAGACCCGUGUCUUCUCUUCCACCCCCUCCCUCCUCCUCCCUGGCACUCAGCCUUGCUCUUCUACUCUACCCUCCCUCCCCAGGCAGCGCCUCAGCUUGGUUAGCUCCCUUAAGGACUGCGGCUCCCUUAGGACAAGGCUCUGUCCCUCAGAGCACUGAGUGCGAUCUCAUGCUGGCAUCUUAGAGACAUUGUAUUCACCAGGUAAGAUGGAUUCACAUCUGCUGGGUGCACGAACACUUCCUCCUUCCUUGCCACCAGCCAGCAUCACAACCAGCCUGGCCAGGCUCCCGUCCCAGCCCAGCCUAGCAGCUAACCCCAGCUCCAUCCCCCAGCAAGCCCCUCUGCCUGCACCUCAGCUUCUUCAUGGAAGACGAGUCAGGUCAUGAUGCCACCAGGGAGCGUGUUUCCAUGUUGAACUGAGACACUAAGCCCUUGACAAAUGUUGGCCAAGAAAAAAAAGGGGCUCCAAGAGGGGAGCUGUGGCUCAGGUAGAAGACGGUGAAUGAGCAUUGCCUGAAUCAGAGUUAGCUACUCUGGUUACACAGGUGUCCCCGGCAGGUUGGUCAAAAGCCCUUCCCUGAGUCCCGUGAUAAGUGUGGGGAGGGAGGCAAAUCAAAGACCCCUACACACCUCCUGCAUGGAUGGCCAGAGCGCUGGUCCCACCUCCUUCCUUCCAAACUGCAACCCCGAUCAGCACAGCAGAGAAGUCUCCUGUGGCAGGGACCAGUAAUUCAGUGCUUCCCCUGGAGAGUCUGGGAUUGCACAGAACACCAGAGGCUGGGGAUUUAUUUGUUCACCAA
This 1704-nucleotide long non-coding RNA is filed under the name Homo sapiens (human). Its description in RNAcentral is "HSALNT0324943". Lineage: Eukaryota; Metazoa; Chordata; Mammalia; Primates; Hominidae. The record is from RNAcentral.